UGGGGAAUAUUGGACAAUGGGCGCAAGCCUGAUCCAGCCAUGCCGCGUGAGUGAUGAAGGCCCUAGGGUUGUAAAGCUCUUUCACCGGUGAAGAUAAUGACGGUAACCGGAGAAGAAGCCCCGGCUAACUUCGUGCCAGCAGCCGCGGUAAUACGAAGGGGGCUAGCGUUGUUCGGAUUUACUGGGCGUAAAGCGCACGUAGGCGGACUUUUAAGUCAGGGGUGAAAUCCCGGGGCUCAACCCCGGAACUGCCUUUGAUACUGGAAGUCUUGAGUAUGGUAGAGGUGAGUGGAAUUCCGAGUGUAGAGGUGAAAUUCGUAGAUAUUCGGAGGAACACCAGUGGCGAAGGCGGCUCACUGGACCAUUACUGACGCUGAGGUGCGAAAGCGUGGGGAGCAAAACAGGAUUAGAUACCCUGGUAGUCCACGCCGUAAACGAUGAAUGUUAGCCGUUGGGGAGUUUACUCUUCAGUGGCGCAGCUAACGCAUUAAACAUUCCGCCUGGGGAGUAC
This 511-nucleotide ribosomal RNA is filed under the name uncultured bacterium. Its description in RNAcentral is "partial 16S ribosomal RNA". It matches the Rfam family "Bacterial small subunit ribosomal RNA", at positions 355 to 883 of the family's 1533-position model. The record is from RNAcentral.